RNAcentral lists this ribosomal RNA (736 nucleotides) under Acidithiobacillus ferrooxidans. RNAcentral's name for it is "16S ribosomal RNA". It matches the Rfam family "Bacterial small subunit ribosomal RNA", at positions 153 to 887 of the family's 1533-position model. The record is from RNAcentral. Lineage: Bacteria; Pseudomonadati; Pseudomonadota; Acidithiobacillia; Acidithiobacillales; Acidithiobacillaceae.
GAAAGCCNGGCUAAUACCGCAUANNNNUAUGGGGCAAAGCAGGGGAUCUUCGGACCUUGCGCUAUUGGAUGAGCCUGCGUCGGAUUAGCUAGUUGGUAGGGUAAAGGCCUACCAAGGCGACGAUCCGUAGCUGGUCUGAGAGGAUGAUCAGCCACACUGGGACUGAGACACGGCCCNGACUCCUACGGGAGGCAGCAGUGGGGAAUAUUGGACAAUGGGGGAAACCCUGAUCCAGCNAUGCCGCGUGUGUGAAGAAGGCCUUCGGGUUGUAAAGCNCUUUCAGUAGGGAAGAAAAAAGCCUNGCUAAUAUCCAGGCUUCUUGACGGUACCUAAAGAAGAAGCACCGGCUAACUCUGNGCCAGCAGCCGCGGUAAUACAGAGGGUGCAAGCGUUAANCGGAAUUACUGGGCGUAAAGCGUGCGUAGGUGGUUCGGUAAGUCAGAUGUGAAACGCCUGGGCUUAACCUGGGAAUUGCGUUUGAUACUGUCGGACKAGAGUUUGGUAGAGGGAAGUGGAAUUCCACGUGUAGCGGUGAAAUGCGUAGAUAUGUGGAGGAACACCAGUGGCGAAGGCGGCUUCCUGGACUAAAACUGACACUGAGGCACGAAAGCGUGGGGAGCAAACAGGAUUAGAUACCCUGGUAGUCCACGCCGUAAACGAUGGGUACUAGACGUUGGGAGGUUUAACCUUCUAGUGUCGCACGUAACGCAAUAAGUWCCGCCKKGGGAGUACGGCC